RNAcentral lists this small RNA (147 nucleotides) under Sinorhizobium meliloti 2011. RNAcentral's name for it is "putative ncRNA". Lineage: Bacteria; Pseudomonadati; Pseudomonadota; Alphaproteobacteria; Hyphomicrobiales; Rhizobiaceae. The record is from RNAcentral.
GCUGCCGGACAGAGUCGUUGCCACCGUAUGUCCGGCCAGCCGUCAUGCUGCGGGAGGUUCUCGAACGCAGACAUGGCUGGUUCGGUCCGGUAACUUCGAACCCUCAGCCCCAGCCCCUCGAUGCUGCCGGGCCGAACCAUCCCCUGU